UAAAAAUUUAAUUUAAAAUAUUGAAGUAGUAUUAGUUAAGAUCUUGAAAUUUAAAAAAUUUGGCGGUAUUUUAGUCUAUUCAGAGGAACCUGUUUUGUAAUCGAUAGUCCACGAUGUAUCUUACUUAAAUUUGUUUUUAUAGUUUAUAUAUCGUCGUUUAUAGAAUAUUUUAUAAAAAAAAUAAUUUUCUUAAUUUUUUAUUUAAAAAUAUAUCAGAUCAAGAUGUAGCUUAUAUUUAAGUUUAUAAUGGGUUACAAUUUUAAUAUUAAUGGAUGUAAGGUUGUAAAUUGCUUAUUGAAAUUGGAUUUGAUAGUAAAUUUAUAUAGAUUAAUAAUUUGAUUAUAGCACUAAAAUAUG
RNAcentral lists this ribosomal RNA (357 nucleotides) under Dorylomorpha simplex. Its description in RNAcentral is "partial 12S ribosomal RNA". The record is from RNAcentral. Lineage: Eukaryota; Metazoa; Arthropoda; Insecta; Diptera; Pipunculidae.